Molecule: non-coding RNA, 564 nt
Organism: Phyllostomus hastatus (greater spear-nosed bat)
Lineage: Eukaryota; Metazoa; Chordata; Mammalia; Chiroptera; Phyllostomidae
Source: the annotation of a RefSeq genome assembly
CAGACGUCCAGCUCUGAGCCUCAGGCUGACAUAAAGGUCUGAAGACUCAGGCCUGGUUGUGGGGCUCAGGAAGCAGAGUCUGGGGGUGUCUCCACCAUGGACUGGGCUGCACUUCUUCUCACUGUCCUGGCUCACUGCACAGGGUCUUGGGCCCAGUUUGUGCUGACUCAGCCCGGCUCUGUGUCGGGGUCUCCAGGACAGAAGGUCACCAUCUCCUGCACCCGCAGUAGCGGCAACAUUGAGGAUGGUUAUGUGUACUGGUACCAACAGCGCCCAGGCAGGGGCCCCACCACUGUGAUCUAUAAAGAUAACCAAAGACCCUCUGGGAUUCCAGAUCGGUUCUCUGGCUCCAUAGACAGCUCCUCCAAUGCUGCCUCCUUGACCAUCUCGGGGCUGCAGCCUGAGGACGAGGCUGACUACUACUGUCAGUCUUAUGAUAGUAGUAGUAAUCACACAGUGCUGCAGACUCAGGGGGAAGACAGAGGAGGCGCUGUCUGGGACACCAUGAAGGAAAGGACUAGGGGAUCUGAAGUAGCAGGGAAGUCUGGGAAGCUGGAGGUCUGA